RNAcentral lists this small nuclear RNA (19 nucleotides) under Arabidopsis thaliana (thale cress). Its description in RNAcentral is "snRNA_05166". The record is from RNAcentral. Lineage: Eukaryota; Viridiplantae; Streptophyta; Magnoliopsida; Brassicales; Brassicaceae.
UUGAGCCCUCAAACUUGCA